UACAUAGGGGGCAAGCGUUAUCCGGAAUUAUUGGGCGUAAAGCGCGCGCAGGCGGCCGCCUAAGCGGGACCUCUAAUCCCGGGGCUCAACCCCGGGCCGGGUCCCGGACUGGGCGGCUCGGGUGCGGUAGGGGCAGGCGGAAUACCCGGUGUAGCGGUGGAAUGCGCAGAUAUCGGGUAGAACACCGAUGGCGAAGGCAGCCUGCUGGGCCGUCACCGACGCUGAGGCGCGAAAGCUAGGGGAGCGAACA
RNAcentral lists this ribosomal RNA (250 nucleotides) under uncultured prokaryote. Its description in RNAcentral is "partial 16S ribosomal RNA". It matches the Rfam family "Bacterial small subunit ribosomal RNA", at positions 524 to 774 of the family's 1533-position model. The record is from RNAcentral.